GGCCUUUAGCACAACAAGUAUUAAAGGUCCCGCCUGCCCAGUGACUCACUUUCAACGGCCGCGGUACUCUAACCGUGCAAAGGUAGCGUAAUCACUUGCCCCCUAAAUAGGGGCUCGUAUGAAUGGCUAGAUGAGGGCUCAACUGUCCCCUAGGACACCCCAAUGAACCUGCUCUCCCAGUACAAAAGCUGAGAUAACCACAUAAGACGAGAAGACCCUGUGGAGCUUUUAAACACACUAUCAAGCUACCCACAGCCCAUGAUAGCAACUUUAAGUUGGGGCGACUACGGAGAAAUACAGAACCUCCAUGAAAAAACUAAAACCAGCCCUAGACUAACACACCAAAGGCACCUAACCCUCUGACCCAGUAUAACUGAACACCGGACCAAGUUACCCCAGGGAUAACAGCGCCAUCCCCCUCAAGAGUCCAUAUCGCCAGGGGGGUUUACGACCUCGAUGUUGGAUCAGGACACCCCGGUGGUGUAGCCGCUGCCAAUGGUUCGUUUGUUCAACGACUAAUGUCCUACGUG
This 530-nucleotide ribosomal RNA is filed under the name Phyllodactylus lanei rupinus. Its description in RNAcentral is "partial 16S ribosomal RNA". It matches the Rfam family "Bacterial large subunit ribosomal RNA", at positions 1817 to 2602 of the family's 2925-position model. The record is from RNAcentral. Lineage: Eukaryota; Metazoa; Chordata; Lepidosauria; Squamata; Phyllodactylidae.